This 2281-nucleotide ribosomal RNA is filed under the name Escherichia coli. Its description in RNAcentral is "partial 23S ribosomal RNA". It matches the Rfam family "Bacterial large subunit ribosomal RNA", at positions 371 to 2640 of the family's 2925-position model. The record is from RNAcentral. Lineage: Bacteria; Pseudomonadati; Pseudomonadota; Gammaproteobacteria; Enterobacterales; Enterobacteriaceae.
CCCCGUACACAAAAAUGCACAUGCUGUGAGCUCGAUGAGUAGGGCGGGACACGUGGUAUCCUGUCUGAAUAUGGGGGGACCAUCCUCCAAGGCUAAAUACUCCUGACUGACCGAUAGUGAACCAGUACCGUGAGGGAAAGGCGAAAAGAACCCCGGCGAGGGGAGUGAAAAAGAACCUGAAACCGUGUACGUACAAGCAGUGGGAGCACGCUUAGGCGUGUGACUGCGUACCUUUUGUAUAAUGGGUCAGCGACUUAUAUUCUGUAGCAAGGUUAACCGAAUAGGGGAGCCGAAGGGAAACCGAGUCUUAACUGGGCGUUAAGUUGCAGGGUAUAGACCCGAAACCCGGUGAUCUAGCCAUGGGCAGGUUGAAGGUUGGGUAACACUAACUGGAGGACCGAACCGACUAAUGUUGAAAAAUUAGCGGAUGACUUGUGGCUGGGGGUGAAAGGCCAAUCAAACCGGGAGAUAGCUGGUUCUCCCCGAAAGCUAUUUAGGUAGCGCCUCGUGAAUUCAUCUCCGGGGGUAGAGCACUGUUUCGGCAAGGGGGUCAUCCCGACUUACCAACCCGAUGCAAACUGCGAAUACCGGAGAAUGUUAUCACGGGAGACACACGGCGGGUGCUAACGUCCGUCGUGAAGAGGGAAACAACCCAGACCGCCAGCUAAGGUCCCAAAGUCAUGGUUAAGUGGGAAACGAUGUGGGAAGGCCCAGACAGCCAGGAUGUUGGCUUAGAAGCAGCCAUCAUUUAAAGAAAGCGUAAUAGCUCACUGGUCGAGUCGGCCUGCGCGGAAGAUGUAACGGGGCUAAACCAUGCACCGAAGCUGCGGCAGCGACGCUGAUGCGUUGUUGGGUAGGGGAGCGUUCUGUAAGCCUGUGAAGGUGUGCUGUGAGGCAUGCUGGAGGUAUCAGAAGUGCGAAUGCUGACAUAAGUAACGAUAAAGCGGGUGAAAAGCCCGCUCGCCGGAAGACCAAGGGUUCCUGUCCAACGUUAAUCGGGGCAGGGUGAGUCGACCCCUAAGGCGAGGCCGAAAGGCGUAGUCGAUGGGAAACAGGUUAAUAUUCCUGUACUUGGUGUUACUGCGAAGGGGGGACGGAGAAGGCUAUGUUGGCCGGGCGACGGUUGUCCCGGUUUAAGCGUGUAGGCUGGUUUUCCAGGCAAAUCCGGAAAAUCAAGGCUGAGGCGUGAUGACGAGGCACUACGGUGCUGAAGCAACAAAUGCCCUGCUUCCAGGAAAAGCCUCUAAGCAUCAGGUAACAUCAAAUCGUACCCCAAACCGACACAGGUGGUCAGGUAGAGAAUACCAAGGCGCUUGAGAGAACUCGGGUGAAGGAACUAGGCAAAAUGGUGCCGUAACUUCGGGAGAAGGCACGCUGAUAUGUAGGUGAAGCGACUUGCUCGUGGAGCUGAAAUCAGUCGAAGAUACCAGCUGGCUGCAACUGUUUAUUAAAAACACAGCACUGUGCAAACACGAAAGUGGACGUAUACGGUGUGACGCCUGCCCGGUGCCGGAAGGUUAAUUGAUGGGGUCAGCGCAAGCGAAGCUCUUGAUCGAAGCCCCGGUAAACGGCGGCCGUAACUAUAACGGUCCUAAGGUAGCGAAAUUCCUUGUCGGGUAAGUUCCGACCUGCACGAAUGGCGUAAUGAUGGCCAGGCUGUCUCCACCCGAGACUCAGUGAAAUUGAACUCGCUGUGAAGAUGCAGUGUACCCGCGGCAAGACGGAAAGACCCCGUGAACCUUUACUAUAGCUUGACACUGAACAUUGAGCCUUGAUGUGUAGGAUAGGUGGGAGGCUUUGAAGUGUGGACGCCAGUCUGCAUGGAGCCGGCCUUGAAAUACCACCCUUUAAUGUUUGAUGUUCUAACGUUGACCCGUGAUCCGGGUUGCGGACAGUGUCUGGUGGGUAGUUUGACUGGGGCGGUCUCCUCCUAAAGAGUAACGGAGGAGCACGAAGGUUGGCUAAUCCUGGUCGGACAUCAGGAGGUUAGUGCAAUGGCAUAAGCCAGCUUGACUGCGAGCGUGACGGCGCGAGCAGGUGCGAAAGCAGGUCAUAGUGAUCCGGUGGUUCUGAAUGGAAGGGCCAUCGCUCAACGGAUAAAAGGUACUCCGGGGAUAACAGGCUGAUACCGCCCAAGAGUUCAUAUCGACGGCGGUGUUUGGCACCUCGAUGUCGGCUCAUCACAUCCUGGGGCUGAAGUAGGUCCCAAGGGUAUGGCUGUUCGCCAUUUAAAGUGGUACGCGAGCUGGGUUUAGAACGUCGUGAGACAGUUCGGUCCCUA